GCAGCAGUAGGGAAUCUUCCGCAAUGGGCGAAAGCCUGACGGAGCAACGCCGCGUGAGUGAUGAAGGUCUUCGGAUCGUAAAACUCUGUUAUUAGGGAAGAACAUAUGUGUAAGUAACUGUGCACAUCUUGACGGUACCUAAUCAGAAAGCCACGGCUAACUACGUGCCAGCAGCCGCGGUAAUACGUAGGUGGCAAGCGUUAUCCGGAAUUAUUGGGCGUAAAGCGCGCGUAGGCGGUUUUUUAAGUCUGAUGUGAAAGCCCACGGCUCAACCGUGGAGGGUCAUUGGAAACUGG
This 296-nucleotide ribosomal RNA is filed under the name Staphylococcus aureus. RNAcentral describes it as "partial 16S ribosomal RNA". It matches the Rfam family "Bacterial small subunit ribosomal RNA", at positions 348 to 636 of the family's 1533-position model. The record is from RNAcentral. Lineage: Bacteria; Bacillati; Bacillota; Bacilli; Caryophanales; Staphylococcaceae.